AACAUGACACACACAAAAAAAGAAAAUAAAGUAAAUAUUAUUUGUUUAAAGUGAAAUCUCUGAUUGUAAUUGCUGUAAUCUACAAAACGGUACGAAUAAUAAAACGUUUUUUAAUAGCGAGCGCCAACACAUUGAAGAGUUUAGGCUAACGUUAGGUUAGCCUACUUUCCACAAACUUUUACAAUGGCUUAUUUAAAUGGUAUUUGGUGAGUUUUAUUCUCUUUAAUCUUGAAAAUAUUCAUUAUUUUGUUGAAUAUUUCUGAAUAGUGCCAUUUGGAAAUUAAAAGAAGCUAUUUUGUCCAGUAAGUUAACAGUUAAUAAACUCGACUGGAACAUCUUGUUUGAUUUGACCAUAUAAGUUAGUUACUUUGAAAUAAAAACAAUAAAAUAUCAAUACACUCAGUUUAAGAAUUUUUCCUUCACUUGGCUGCAACCACCGUGACCGUUCACGACGAUCUACCGCGUUCAAGAUGGCGAGGCUUGCACGAGGAGGACAAACGAAACGCGGAAUGGUUUACUUUCAGGUCAAGAUUUCCCUUUACGAAAUAUUUUAAUCGGUAGUGGACCGCGCUGACAGGAGAUGAAUCAGACCCAGAGAGUGGGAAAUUAUGGGGGAGGCGCGUACAUCCGGCGCCCCACUGUCUCCUGUUGUCUCGCUGGAAAUUAAUUUGCAUUUCCCUUGCUUUCUUAAAAUUCCUCUCUCUGGUGAAUUCCUCUCCAUAUCUGGAAGGCCUGUUUUUUGGACACCCUCACUGCUGGGAUCGAGUCUAACACCUGUGCGUGAACAUCACUUUGCAGACAGACCAGAUUAUUACUGUCAAGACUCUUGACGAUGUAAAUGCAUCUUAUCCAGCAAGCUUUCCAGAACCGUUCUGCUACAUUUGAGCUGAUGCACCCGGGAGCAAGAGAUGCUUCACAGUCAGAUCAACUCAUGAGGAUCAUAAAAUGAGCAGAUAUGGACUUGCUUACAAACAGGGGCAUACUGUUUUGCCAAGCCAAACUGCUUGUUAAUGUUCAAGUGCAUCCUUGACUAUUUCUUUUAAAUGAACAGGCACAGAAAAGCUCAUGGAGAUGAAUUUCAAUGCAUGACAAGGCAGUAGCAUCUGUCUGGCGUCUGAUGAGAAAUAAACCAGCAUAAAGAGAACUGCAUGUAAUCAGUCUGUUCAAGUUGAAUCUCUCGAAUAACUUGGGCAAAACUUUUGAUGAGCUUUUAAUGGCAUGUCUUUCAACAUAAAAAAAAAAAAAAGAAAUAUUGGACUGGAAACAGACUGUGGUUUUAUGGGAUUAGCAUUAGUCUGACAACUUUCUGAUGGUGCUCUGUGGCAGCAAGAUGAUAAAGACCAAUAUUCAAUUACAAUUAUAAAAUAAAAAAACAAUCUAUAUCCCAUCACCCCAUGCACUUUUAAAUGCACUGUUUAUUAUGUCUUAUGGUUGUUUUUUGCCAUUCACUCCUAUACUCAGAGCUUAAUCUUGUUCUGUAUGCAGUUCAGUCAUUUACAGGAAUGACAACGACAUUCUCCAACCAAAUAAGCAAUUUUUAUUACAAGUAAUAUACUUUUAUUAGUAAGCUGUUUACAACUGACAAGCAACUUG
Molecule: long non-coding RNA, 1593 nt
Organism: Cyprinus carpio carpio
Lineage: Eukaryota; Metazoa; Chordata; Actinopteri; Cypriniformes; Cyprinidae
Source: Ensembl